Molecule: ribosomal RNA, 427 nt
Filed under: uncultured bacterium
Lineage: Bacteria
Description: partial 16S ribosomal RNA
Rfam family: Bacterial small subunit ribosomal RNA
Source: RNAcentral
UAGGGACUCUUCCGCAAUGGGCGAAAGCCUGACGGAGCAACGCCGCGUGAGUGAUGAAGGUCUUCGGAUCGUAAAACUCUGUUAUUAGGGAAGAACAAAUGUGUAAGUAACUAUGCACGUCUUGACGGUACCUAAUCAGAAAGCCACGGCUAACUACGUGCCAGCAGCCGCGGUAAUACGUAGGGGGCAAGCGUUAUCCGGAAUUAUUGGGCGUAAAGCGCGCGUAGGCGGUUUUUUAAGUCUGAUGUGAAAGCCCACGGCUCAACCGUGGAGGGUCAUUGGAAACUGGAAAACUUGAGUGCAGAAGAGGAAAGUGGAAUUCCAUGUGUAGCGGUGAAAUGCGCAGAGAUAUGGAGGAACACCAGUGGCGAAGGCGACUUUCUGGUCUGUAACUGACGCUGAUGUGCGAAAGCGUGGGGAUCAAACA